AAUACAUAAACUGUUUUUCUACACACUCGGAAAAAGGUCUCAUCUCAAAAACUUUUCAAAUUUAUUUUGGAUGUUUGCAAAAUGACCAUCACGUACACCGACCAGGUCGCCACGUGCCGUGGUCUGGGAUGUUUUUGGAAAUUACUUUUUCGUUGGAAAGGCAGCAUUUACAAACUGCUGUGGCCCAAUCUGAUAUUGUUCACAGUAUGUUAUUUUACGUUGAGUUUUACAUACAGAAUAGUGCUAACAAAUUCACAGAGAGAUCUUUUUGAAAAAAUAUCAUUGCACUGUCAAAUGUACACCAGUCUAAUCCCUGUGUCGUUUGUAUUGGGAUUUUACGUUGCAGUUGUCGUUGGACGAUGGUGGAAUCAAUAUUUAAGCAUACCUUAUCCGGAUUCAUUGGCUUUGUACGUCAGUACGUUAAUCAUUAGGCAAAACGAUCGAUCUCGGCUAAUAAGAAGGACAAUAAUGAGAUAUGCCAACUUGUCUAUACUUAUGACGUUGACAAUGAUAUGUCCAGCAGUGAAAAAGAGAUUUUCGACAAUGGAUCAUUUGGUGGAGUCAGGAUUCUUAAUGCCAGACGAAAAGGCACUACUCGAGUCAAUGAACAGCAAAACUAGUCAUCCGAAUUAUUGGAUGCCACUAGUAUGGGCCGCUACAAUCGUGUCACAGGCCAAAACCGAGGGAUAUAUCACGAAUGAAUUUUCAAUAAUAACAUUAAUUGAUGAGAUAAACAAGAUAAAAUCAAAUUGUGCUGGCUUGCUAAGCUACGAUUGGAUAAGUGUGCCACUUGUUUACACGCAAGUAACGACAUUAGCAGUUUAUGUUUACUUUGUUGCAUCAUUAAUGGGAAAUCAGUAUCUGGAUCCACGCAAAGGGUAUCCGACACAUCCAAUUGAUUUAGUCAUUCCAAUAUUCACGUUUUUUCAAUUUUUCUUCUACAUGGGCUGGUUAAUGGUAGCAGAAACUUUAGUGAACCCGUUUGGUGAUGAUGACGACGACUUUGAUGUGAACUGGCUCAUCGAUAGAAACUUACAGGUAUCGUAUAUAAUUGUUGACGAAAUGCAUCAAGAGUAUCCAAUGAUGAUAAAAGAUCAAUAUUGGAAUGAAAUAUUCCCAUCAAAAUUACCGUACACAGAAGAGACUAAACACCUUCAGAUAACUCCGUUUUUAGGAUCGGCUCAAGCAAUUGAAGCACAAACAGAUUAUAAUGAAAAAAAACCUACAGUUACCAGCUGCGAUAAAAAAAUGGAAACAAAACAAAAACCAAAAAUCUUGACUGAAGUAUCCAAUAUGAUGGCCAUGGAAUAUCAUAAAAACGCUUACAGACAUGAUGAUUAUUACAAUAAUUUUUCAAAUACCAUUGAAGAAAUCAAUAGGGAAAAACAUGUAAAUGAUUUUGGGGAAUCGUUAGUUUCAUUAACGGAGUACAGUCGUUCACAACUAUUACCAAGCACAUCUACUCAACCUCAAUAUAUUUCAAGGACUACGACAUUUUCAGUGAGUAGUUAUAGUGGUGAUGAGAGUGAUCAAGAACAUCAAAUAUAAUUAUUAUGCGUAUAAUACCAUACCACAGCAAGCACCUCAAUUUCUGUAUCAGUUAUCUUAAGUCAAAGGUAGAGCAACUGAUGCAACCGCAGUGAAAUAAUGGUGAGACUCUUUCUGGACGUUUGUUGAAACGAAAUUUAUAUUCUCAUUCUAGGCUUCCUAGUUUUUACAUCACUUCUUUUGCAUCUAACAGUGAGUAUUGAUAACAAUCAACUGAAUCUAAAUCUAAAUUGAUAUUUUUAUUUAAAAUGGGUAAUGGAAUGACUUUAUCUGUAUUACUACAUAUUUUAUAUUUAUUAUUAUUUAAACUCUAAUCUUAACUAAAAAUAUACAUACUAGGUAUUAGAUAUAGUAAAUUUUAUAAUGUUUAUAAAUUCAAAAUAGUCAAUUACCAAAUAAUUUAUCAGAAAGUACUCCCAAAAAUAGAUAUCCACAAUUACAGUUUAAAUGUAAUACAAGUAUUUCACAAUAACUCUUUUACCACCACUGUCAAAAGCUUUGGCAUAGCUAAUAUUAGAAAUACUAAUCUACUACUGUGGACUUGUUAACCCUAUAUAAAAUAUAUAAAAUAAUUAUUAUUAUUGCAUGAGACCCACAGGUCACAAAACGUGAAAAAUAAAAAUAUUUGUAUGCACAUUGAUGCAUACCUCCUAUCUAUGGAUAGGAGGUAUAUUGAAUAUAUUUUAUUCAAAUUGGUAAAUCUGACAUAAUACAAUAUAUAAUUUAUAAAUAUUUA
Aphis gossypii (cotton aphid) is the source of this 2284-nucleotide RNA transcript. It is a transcript of the gene named bestrophin-1-like, with no coding region annotated. Lineage: Eukaryota; Metazoa; Arthropoda; Insecta; Hemiptera; Aphididae. The transcript is spliced from 11 exons. The record is from RefSeq and is a predicted model, not a curated record.